Molecule: ribosomal RNA, 207 nt
Filed under: uncultured bacterium
Lineage: Bacteria
Description: partial 16S ribosomal RNA
Rfam family: Bacterial small subunit ribosomal RNA
Source: RNAcentral
CGCGUAGGCGGCUUGCACCGUCAGAUGUGAAAUUCCUGGGCUUAACCUGGGGGCUGCAUUUGAUACGUGUGGGCUUGAGUGCGGAAGAGGGUCGUGGAAUUCCCAGUGUAGAGGUGAAAUUCGUAGAUAUUGGGAAGAACACCGGUGGCGAAGGCGGCGACCUGGUCCGUGACUGACGCUGAGGCGCGAAAGCGUGGGGAGCAAACA